AUGACCCUCUUUAGCCCGAGAUACAUGAGCAUGAGUGGAGAGUUGAAGUCCAGCCGCUCCAGGGCAGCGAGUAAGAGGGCCAGCAACACCAUUUAUGGAUCCGAGUUCGACCUGGACUGUGACAGCUACCACGAGGACUACAAUGACAGGGCGUAUGACUACCAACGUGUGCCGGCCUCGCUGUCGCCUCUGCCCGUCGGACCCGGUCUGGCCAAGCGAUCCCGUUCCUCCUCCUACUCCUCUGGGAACAAACGCAGUCGAGACAGAACCCACUCCAAAAGCUCCAGAGCCCACUCCACAAAUUCAUCCACAGCCAAGUUGGGCAUGGAGGAGUUGCAGGUGAUUAAAAAGGAGCUGACUCUGAUAAAGACACAGAUCGAUGGGCUGCUCGACAAUCUUGACAAAAUGGACACAGAGAGGAAUGACAGCAAAGGAUCUCCCCUGAGAGAGGAGAGUCCAGCCGGCUCACUGUACGCUCUGUCUGCCAGCAGCCCCGAGCACUCCCUCUCCUCCCUCUCCCCCCCCCAGCUCCCGCCAUCGAAUCCGCAGAGAGAAACCGGACCUGAGGGGGCCUGAUGAUGAACACCACACGAUGAGCAACUACAGCUCUGACCCAGAGGAGGGAAUAUGAGGAAGAACCAUGGGAAGACAUAGAAGACAUGUAUUAAGUGCCAAACAUGGAGGAGGAGAAGAACAGCCGACACUCAAAUUGAACACGCUACAUGUAUGUUAUUGUGUCACAACAGCCUGGUUUCUGUGAGAAUACAUUCAAGUCUAAUUAAAACACUGACACAGUUGACUUAUAUGCAUUAAGUACAAAGAUAUCCCAUUAGUAAUGAUUUGUAAGGUUGACCUGAGAGAGGACAACUGGAUGAACGGUAAUUAAUUCAUCUUUUAAUUCCCUAAGGAGGCAUUCCUAUUUAAUUGUAAAAGACGGGCUACACAAAUGCGUGUUUUCCAAAUAAAUCCAAACACUACAGAAUGAAGACAAAAAACGAGACACAUUUAAAACCUUGUGUUAGUAGUUUAAAAAUUGAUUCUGUCAGGCAGCAAAUGCCAGCAUCAGACUGUAAAUAUGGUAAUAAUUUAGAUUAAUAAUGUAUGUGUCAUGUUGCUAGAGGUGCUGCAACAUUCUGCUGCUUCACCUGUUUCUCCCAAGAAAGACAUUCUUCUAUCUUGAAUAAGAUAUCUUAGAAACAACAUAGAAUCAAGAAUAUAAAUAAAGCUAGGGAACUUAAACACGACGUCAUUGACUUACUAAAAUAUUUCAAUUUUCAAAAUAAUGGUAUAAUUGCAAAAGCUACUGGAGUUUUACGUGUAAUGUAAAAGCAAAACAAAAGAAAGCACUACACUCUCCAACUUGAUCUCUUUUUGUUGACGCAUAGCUCAUCCUUUCCCUUUAUUGUAUACUUCUAAGAUGUGAAAAUUAGCUAGACAAAGUUAUCAACGGUUAUCUUUGAGAGAUUGAAGAUCAUUCAGGUGAAAGGUUGUUUUCUGCUUGUAUCAGUAUGCUGUAAAAUGUGUUGAUGAAAUGGUACUUCGGUCUUCCAUCAUGUAUUUGGCACUUUUAAGACACACAUAAUAUUGUGUAUUAUUGUAAACUUUAUUGUAAUUGUUGAACUGUCUGAUUUGAAUCUUGCUUUAGGACUUCUCAUGUGUUUUUUUUUAAGAAAACAAUUAUGUUAUUCCUAUGGUGUUACAUUUCUUUUGUUUGCAUUCUCCCGAUUAGCCAAGUGGAAAUACUCAGUCACAGUAGUAAAGGUAUUUUCAUAUUGAGUAUAAAUACAGUACAUGGAAGUGUGUGUGUGUUUUUUAAGAGACCAUAUGGUCAUAGAUCCUAAAAUGUUCUCACAAAUAAAUCCAAGUGCAUAAAUCAUAUUAUGAUAGACUGUAUGAAACAGGAAGGUUGAUUAUUGUAAUCAUAGUCUUGCUUGCAGGAACACAGAGAGGUAGAUCACAUGAUCGUAGGACUCUCUGAAUCCAGAACAUCGAUCUUUCUCUUUGCACGCAUGAUUCGAGCGAAGGUCAAUCGUACCGUCAGGCAGAAAUUGAAACACUCCAUAUUGUGUGUGUGGUUCUGAGGACGGCUGCAUUUCCAAGAGUUUUCAUGGCAAUAGCUUAGUAAAUGGACCUUCUGAUUAGAAUGUUUAUAACAGUUCAUGACACAGACUUUUUUGACAGUUGUGUCUAAGAAAGACUGAAAUAUAUGGUUGCAUUUUCGCAUAAAGUAAUCCCUAAAUGUUUGAUCAUUUUCUGAUAUGCUCUAUAUACUAAAAGCAUGUAGUCGUCUUUAGAUUAAGAACGUGUACAUGAGAAUCAAAUCCAAAUGCAGCUGUAUUUAUAAAUUAAAUAAUUCAGUAGCCUGAUAUAACUGUCACCAUCUUUUGAUGUGUUU
Gasterosteus aculeatus (three-spined stickleback) is the source of this 2395-nucleotide long non-coding RNA. NCBI's taxonomy places the organism in Eukaryota, Metazoa, Chordata, Actinopteri, Perciformes, Gasterosteidae. The record is from Ensembl.